UCAACCAGUCACGGAAUAUGUCCAUGAAUUUUGUAACGAUUAUGUUAUCAAAACAACGAUUGAGGGACGUUAUCAGGAAACUCUUUAUGCAGCAGCACGAACUGACGGCAACAGUGUAAAGUACAAAAUACUCGUGCAGCAGGAUUCGUGUGCAGCAUUUAUUUACAACAGUUCGAGUCGCGUUUGUUGUGGACGCAGUUCGACUUGGACCCGACACGCGUUACAAAUAAAUAAUUUACACGAUCGGUCUAUUUUCUACCGAAUUCUGAUUUAAAGCGUUAUCAGCAAUGACUUCGCCGGCAAUCAACAAUGGUAACGGGCAAAAGGAUUCGAAAUCGGCGUCCAAUGUGACCCUAUCCCAGUCAUCUAGGUCGGAACCGGCGAAUCCCCGCGGCUCCGUUUUUACCGCCUGGUGGCGCGUUUUCAAGCUAGUCAACACCAUGAUGAAGCCCAAUUGUUAGAUAUUUUAGUACAAACACUAUAAGGAUUGGAGGUUCACCCUUAGGAGUAGUUCUUCUACAUAUCGAUUGUAUUAUUGAUACCCUUCACGAAACGGGGGGUUUUGUAGUGCAUAGUUUUAUCUAGUCUGUUAUUUGUACUGUUUGUGUAUUGUAACAAUGAAAUGGGGUAAAUUUCACAAAACUACAAUACAAGAACUGUAUGUUAUAUAUUUUAUAAAUGGGUUAUUUUACGGGUUGAUUUUAGUUUAUUAUUUGGGUUGUUUGAAGAGUCGUUUGUCUUCCAUUUUUACAAGGACUAUUCAACAUGCCCAUCAUAAUUACAUUUAAGUUUCGUUGUAUAGAAUAAAAAAACUGUUUCCCAGAAUUGUUGCCAUAGAUUCUAACUUAGAUACUAAGUUCCAAAAUGCAAAACUAACACGAAAUGUAAUCUAUAUAUUUUUUUAACCCGUAUUUUUAUAAUCGCCGAAUUUUAACCAACUGGAUUUAUUUACUUUAUUUUUGUUUUAUUGUACUUUAAUUUUAUAAGUAACCUAAUAAUAUAUAUGUGAUAUAUUACUCUUCUCAUGUUUGUAUUGGAUUUUUGCAAGUUAAACAUUAUUUAUUAACUAAUAAACGUUCAAUCAACUGAAA
Long non-coding RNA from Aethina tumida (small hive beetle), 1091 nucleotides. RefSeq lists it as uncharacterized. Lineage: Eukaryota; Metazoa; Arthropoda; Insecta; Coleoptera; Nitidulidae. The record is from RefSeq and is a predicted model, not a curated record. The transcript has 2 exons.